This 30-nucleotide ribosomal RNA is filed under the name Pichia ethanolica. RNAcentral's name for it is "[Candida] ethanolica partial 26S ribosomal RNA". Lineage: Eukaryota; Fungi; Ascomycota; Pichiomycetes; Pichiales; Pichiaceae. The record is from RNAcentral.
CUCGACCUCAGAUCAGGUAGGAAUACCCGC